ACCANCCGCGGUAAUUCCAGCUCCAAUAGCGUAUAUUAAAGUUGCUGCAGUUAAAAAGCUCGUAGUUGAAUUUCGGGACCAUCAUGUCGGUCGUGCCUCGGUACGUACUGGCAUUGUUGGUUUCUCCCUUCUGACGAACCAUGAUGUCAUUAAUUUGGUGUCUUGGGGAAUCAGGACUGUUACUUUGAAAAAAUUAGAGUGUUUAAAGCAGGCUCACGCUUGAAUACAUUAGCAUGGAAUAAUGAAAUAGGACGUUUGAUUCUAUUUUGUUGGUUUCUAGGAUCGACGUAAUGAUUAAUAGGGAUAGUUGGGGGCAUUAGUAUUCAAUUGUCAGAGGUGAAAUUCUUGGAUUUAUUGAAGACUAACUACUGCGAAAGCAUUUGCCAAGGAUGUUUUCAUUAAUCAAGAACGAAAGUUAGGGGAUCGAAGACGAUCAGAUACCGUCGUAGUCUUAACCAUAAACUAUGCCGACUAGGGAUCGGAUGAUGUUAAUUUUUUAAUGACUCA
RNAcentral lists this ribosomal RNA (507 nucleotides) under uncultured fungus. RNAcentral's name for it is "SSU rRNA". It matches the Rfam family "Eukaryotic small subunit ribosomal RNA", at positions 569 to 1078 of the family's 1831-position model. The record is from RNAcentral. Lineage: Eukaryota; Fungi.